Molecule: ribosomal RNA, 442 nt
Filed under: uncultured bacterium
Lineage: Bacteria
Description: partial 16S ribosomal RNA
Rfam family: Bacterial small subunit ribosomal RNA
Source: RNAcentral
CCUACGGGUGGCUGCAGUGGGGAAUAUUGGGCAAUGGACGCAAGUCUGACCCAGCAACGCCGCGUGAAGGAAGAAGGCUUUCGGGUUGUAAACUUCUUUUAAGGGGGAAGAGCAGAAGACGGUACCACUUGAAUAAGCCACGGCUAACUACGUGCCAGCAGCCGCGGUAAUACGGAGGUGGCAAGCGUUGUCCGGAUUUACUGGGUGUAAAGGGAGCGUAGACGGCUGCGCAAGUCAGAAGUGAAAGCCCGGGGCUCAACCGCGGGACUGCUUUUGAAACUGUAUAGCUAGAGUGCAGGAGAGGUAAGUGGAAUUCCUAGUGUAGCGGUGAAAUGCGUAGAUAUUAGGAGGAACACCGGUGGCGAAGGCGGCUUACUGGACUGUAACUGACGUUGAGGCUCGAAAGCGUGGGGAGCAAACAGGAUUAGAUACCCCUGUAGUC